UUGAGAUGUAAAAUUUAAUUAAAUAGUUUACUUGAGUAUUACGAGCUGUGUAACAUUGUUUUGCACAAGAAUCUUAAAACUCAAAAGACUUGGCGGUAUCUUAGGUCCUUCUAGGGGAACCUGUCCUAUAAUCGAUAGUCCACGAUUUAUCUUUCCUUUCCUUGAAAAUAUUCAGCUUGUAUACCGUCGUCGUCAGAUUACCUUUAAGAGUUAAAUGAGUUAUCAGUAGGAGUAGUACCUUUAGCACUUAGUUUAGUUUUAGCAACUUAAAACAAGUGUAAAUAGUGAUUUUCUAGAUGUCAGAUCAAGGUGCAGCUUAUGGAGAGGCAGAGAUGGGUUACAAUAAUUAUUUAUUAUUUACGGAUUUCUUAUUGAAAUUAUAAGAACUAAAGGCGGACUUAGAAGUAAUUAAUAACGGAGAAUAGAAAGUUCCGGUGAAAAUGGCACUAAGAUGUG
This 456-nucleotide ribosomal RNA is filed under the name Omphalius rusticus. Its description in RNAcentral is "partial 12S ribosomal RNA". The record is from RNAcentral. Lineage: Eukaryota; Metazoa; Mollusca; Gastropoda; Trochida; Tegulidae.